GAACCGUACGAACGUUAUUCGGAAUCACUGGGCUUAAAGGGUGCGUAGGCGGCUUAUCAAGUUGGGUGUGAAAUCCCCUGGCUCAACCAGGGAACUGCGCUCAAAACUGAUAGGCUUGAGGGAGAUAGAGGUGAGCGGAACUGAUGGUGGAGCGGUGGAAUGCGUUGAUAUUAUCAGGAACACCAGUUGCGAAAGCGGCUCACUGGGUCUCUUCUGACGCUGAGGCACGAAAGCUAGGGGGGAGCGAACGGGAUUAGAUACCCCGGUAGUCCUAGCUGUAAACGAUGAGCACUUGGUUGAGGGUCCUCCCAUAGACCCUCGGCCGUAGCGAAAGUGUUAAGUGCUCCGCCUGGGAGUAUGGUCGCAAGGCUG
RNAcentral lists this ribosomal RNA (372 nucleotides) under uncultured organism. RNAcentral describes it as "partial 16S ribosomal RNA". It matches the Rfam family "Bacterial small subunit ribosomal RNA", at positions 527 to 896 of the family's 1533-position model. The record is from RNAcentral.